This 500-nucleotide ribosomal RNA is filed under the name uncultured Myrionecta. RNAcentral's name for it is "SSU rRNA". It matches the Rfam family "Eukaryotic small subunit ribosomal RNA", at positions 34 to 601 of the family's 1831-position model. The record is from RNAcentral. Lineage: Eukaryota; Ciliophora; Litostomatea; Cyclotrichida; Mesodiniidae.
UGUUCUCAGACUAGCCAUGCACGUCUAGUACAAACUAAAUGAUGGUGAACUGCAAAUGGCUCAUUACAACGGUUAUGAUGUACCCGGGAGUUCCGAUGGAUAUUUCCAGUAACACUAGAACUAAUACAUGUCCCUGCGUUUAUUAGUUUCGCACAGUCCGUCGCUGAGUCAUGGUAAACAGUUGAUCGACUCGACGUCCCGGAACAGUUUCCGCCCCAUCAGCUUCGAUGGUUGGGUAUUGGCCUACCAUUGCAACAACGGGUAACGAGGAAUUAGGGUUUGAUUUCGGAGAGGGAGCCUGAGAAGCGGCUACCACAUCUACGGAUGGCAGCAGGCGCGCAAAUUACCCAAUGCAGACACUGUGAGGUAGUGACGAGAAAUAAUAAAGCGGGACUUCUGUUUCGCUAUUAUAAUGAGGAAUAACCAAAGGUCAUUCCGAUUAGCAACUGAUGGGAAAGUCUGGUGCCAGCAGCCGCGGUAAUACCAGCGUCAGUAGCAUA